Molecule: long non-coding RNA, 357 nt
Organism: Glycine soja
Lineage: Eukaryota; Viridiplantae; Streptophyta; Magnoliopsida; Fabales; Fabaceae
Exons: 2
Source: RefSeq, a predicted model, not a curated record
UAAUGAGUUUGAUAUAGUAUGUCCAUCUCACAAGAAAGAAGGACCAAAAUUAAAAACUAAAUCCUCAUCAAAUGGGUUUUCGCUUCCAUCAACAUAUCCUCUUGGGAAUUUUAUUUGUUGCUUUGAUUCUAACUUCAGGCGGACUAACGACUGGACAAUUUAUUCCAGGCUAUACUUGUGUGGCAAAAUGCAUAAAUUCGCCAGACUGCAAGCAAUCUUGUAUUAGUCGUGAUUUUAAGAUUGACAGUAAAUGUUUAAAUUUUUUUAAUAUUAAUCUUUGUUGUUGUAAGUAAUUGAUUAAUAUUGUACCCAUGGUUAUUUUAUAAAACUACAAUAAAAUGGAUACUUGAAAAAUGA